Mustela erminea (ermine) is the source of this 983-nucleotide long non-coding RNA. RefSeq lists it as uncharacterized. NCBI's taxonomy places the organism in Eukaryota, Metazoa, Chordata, Mammalia, Carnivora, Mustelidae. The record is from RefSeq and is a predicted model, not a curated record. The transcript is spliced from 5 exons.
UAGGAAGCUGGCUUUGCUCACUUGAGGGACUGUCACCCAAGUUAACUUUUCUUUCCUUCUUCAAUUUUUGUCUAUAAAAGAAAGCUAUUUCUCCACUCACCACCCUUCUGACACCAAAUGCGUGGGUUUUUCACACCAAACAAUUCUCCAAUAUUCUGAGAACACUGGCUGAAUGUCCUGUAAUUUAACUGAAUUCUGACCUUGCCCCGAAUCAGCGCAGACCCCACAGAUUAAAGAGAUUGGUCACCUAAGACUGACUCUCCUUCAGAAGCCACGUGUAAGAGACACGGCCUUUCAGGAGGGCCUGCAGAGGCAAACGAGUCUAAGAUUCACGACAUCUCCAGUUCCUUGACACAUGGGAAAGCAGCAGGAACCUAGUGAUGUGGAGGUGGGAGAGGAAGCUUGGAGCAAUUCUAAAUACAGUUCUUCUGAAACUACCGAUAAUGAAGGUACCUAACACUAUUGCAUACAACGUUUGAGCACUACAGUAAUCCCAUGAAAUAGGUUUCUGCAGUGCUGGUCAGGAUGGAGGCACCCCUCACCUUCGCCAUCGCCAGAACAAAAGCCCCAGUGAACCAACCACCAUGUUCCUUCCGAGAGAAAGUCUGUGAUGUUGUCCCUGCUCUUCUUCCCACGUGCGAUGCGUGGGCUCAGCUGAACCAGCACAUGGACUUCCCCUUGACUCUCCGAGGACUAGCAGAUGUCCCAUGGGACCUGUCUGCCUCCAAGAUCUAGUGGAGAUGAUCCCAAAUCCCCAAUCUGCCUUCUACCAAUGGGGGGGCUUCCAGCAAAGUCCUGGGCAUCAAGUUUCUUGCUUCCACUUCAUUACACUCUCUUCAGUUUUUAAAUCUAACCCAGAUGUGGAAUGUAAUAGCUCCAGGCUCCAUGUAACCUCCCCUCCCCACCUUCCCUCAAGGUCAUGUGUAUGGUCCAAGGGUACUGAUGCCUUGGGGAUAUGGAGGAGAUUUACAUCAUUAAAACAA